CUUCUGAGAGCACAACAGGACUGGGAUUGUGCCGGGAAGAUGUGGAAUGGUGUGGAAAGACAAGCUGCAGCCUUCAGGCUGCCAUGGAAAAGCUGGGGGACAAAAGCACCACCAGAAGCUGUUGCCGUGCUCUUGGGCUUCCCAGCCUUCAAAACUGUGAGUGAAGUAAACAUCUUUCCUGUAUAAAGCAUAACCCAGUCUCAGGUAUUCUUUAUAGCAACAGAAAAUGGACUUAGACAGUGGUCUUGAGACUUGGGUGCAAAAUGGUUUAUCUUUAUCCAUCACCCCAUCCCAAGCCAAUUUCAUUGCCUGUAAGCCUCUAAUCCCCAUGCACCCCACCUUCUAUCUUAAUUCUUUAACUUGAAUUCAUGUACCUAACAUAUAGACAGGUUUUGGGGAUUCAGACAUUGACAUCUGUGAGGGCCAUUAUUCUGUCUACCACAAUUAGAUCAGCACAUCUUUUGGAAAGGAACUAUCUAUUGGAGGAAAUACAUUGAUGAGGUGCCAGGGUGGGCAACAGUGUGUGAACAUUGGUGUUGGCCUAGGCCAGUGAGAACGCUAGGGAUGGAGUCUUAAGCCAGCCAGUGAUGGCCCUAUUCAGUCCAUACAGUUAAGAGAGAUCAAGGAUGAGUGACCUGGAAGCCAAGGGCAAGCGCCCCAGUAAUAAUCAUGAUUCCUGGCCCAUUUCCAGACUUGAGCCAGGUUUUGGACCCAGAAUGCAUUGUGCAAGGAGAAAUUGAUUUGGUGGAAAAUUACAUGGUAAGUCUAUUGUAAGGGGGAGGAAGAAUUCCCAAGAGGUUGAACGAAAACUAAGCAACUGAAAAAGUCAUUAUUUCAGGAAGGACAAGCAGUAGGACAGGAAGUAAUCAGUACACAGAAUGAAAGGGUGGCGAGUCCCACUCAGGGCAGCACUCAGACCAGGGAAGAGACGCCCUCUUGCCCUGGGCUUUGUGUUUUAGGGGCCUGCAUUUCACAGACACAGAACCAGGUGUCUGUUCUUUUUGGUUUCGUAAAACACUCUGGGAUUGAGUAAGUGAUCAAAUGUGAUCGGGAGAGGGACGCAUGAACCAAACCGGCCCCUGGGCCAAAGAGAAUGGGGCUGAGACAUGCACAUGUUCGUGGAGAGAGGAGAGAACCACGACCUCCAUGCCAGGACACUGGAGGAAGAACAGUGGCCACUGCAGAUCACCCCAAGUGGGUGUCAGGCGGGAGGGCUUCCCGAUCAGGGUGCCGCCUCCCCCUGCUGGGUGGUAUGGUCCUGGGAAGGGCUUAGUAAUUCCAGGGCUUCUCAGAUGCUGGCAACAUUUUACUUCCUGUGCUGGUAGUUACACUGGCAUGUUUCCAUUGUGAAAUUUGGUUGAGAUGCAUGCCCAUUACCUGUGUAGUUUCCCACAGGUAUGCUAUGCAAGAGUUUAUACACAUCCUUAGGAGAAAAUGUCAGGGAAUUUUACUUUGUUCUUAGGCUAAGAAAGGAUUUCUUAAACAAGAUAUAAAAAUACCAUAAAAAUAAAUAUUGAUAAAUUCACUAUACUAGAAAUACUCCUGUUCAUCAGAAAGAUACCACAAAGAAAAUUAAGUCAGCCAAAAACUGAGAGAAGGUAUUGACGAUUCUUAUAUCCAGUGAAGAUCAGUUCCAAAAUCUAUAAUCCGAUAAAGAUAGCAUUCCUGUGAUUCAAUAGGGAAAAUAUAGAUACACAUUUACAGUAAUAGAUAAAAAGAUAUAAACCAAUAGCUCACAGUAGAGGAGAAAUAAAUGGCCAAUAAAAAUAUAAAAGAUGUUUCACUUUACUAGCUGUCAGAGAAAUGCAAUUUGAUCCAAGAUUGUAUUUCAGAUGAAUGAGUCUUAACACUCACUCAGCUGGCACCAGCAAAGCAGCUGCCGUGUGUUGGUGAGCUGGUGAAGCCCACGGAACCCGCUGCCGUGAGAGGGCGUUUGUCAGUAUCUUGGGAGCAUCUGGGGACUCCUGUGCAGGGUUGAAUUCUCAAGUGCAACAGCCCCACAAUUCCCCCUUUGGACUCUUCGGUAGAGAAACAGAUGGAGGCAUGCGCCAGGACACAGGUGCCAAAAUGUGCCCUGCAGGAUCAUGCAUUUAAGCAAAAGCACUGGAAAGGCCAGGACAAGAGAAAGCACAAAUACAUCACAGUGAAGCCAAACAAGGAAGCAUAUCACAACCUCAAAAUGAAUGAACAAUAGUUGCUCGCAACAAUGAGAAAAAGUCUUAGAAACAGCUCUUUCCAGAAAAAAAAAAGUGGGAGACCUCAUACAGUAUGGCACAUUUUUACGAGGUUUAUAAAGCCAAGAAAAACUAGAUGGCACAUUGCAUGUGUGAAUUAUAAAAUUCUAAAACCAGAAAAAAUUCCAGGAACGUCCCACAAUCCAGGCUGGGGAGGGGGCAGGUAGGGGAUGGUGGGGGGUGUGCAGGGUGGGUGCUAUUGCCGAACGUGUCCUCCGCUUUCAUGCUGAUUAAAGGUAAACACAGCCCGUCGCCACAGUGGUGAGGGCAGAUUGUGAUGAGUCAUAGCUGUGGCAAUGGAGAAGAGUCCAGCAUGACCUGACUCAGCUUGAAUCUGCACAGCAGUGACGGGGGGUUUUAAAGGGACAGGGAGGGGUGGGGGUCCGCUGGGGCUCAGGAGAGCCGGGGAGGUGAAAACUUAGAGUGGGAAGUGGGUGGGUCCACAGGAGACCUGUCUAUAAUAGGUUUGUUGACUGCAGUUAUGGAAGUGAGGCCCCACCCCUGCAGAGGCUGGGGCAUAGGGCCGUAUUCUCAGGGGUUGCUGGAGCCAACAAGAGAUCCUUUUGGCAGCUUAAGAUUUCUCAGGCAGGCAUUUGAGGGACUGGGUCACCCUAGGGAUGCAGCCUGGAGUUCUUAGAAAUGAAGUUGGCGUCUGUUCAGUCCUUCGUGGGCCAUGUUGAAGCCUGGUGGAGCAGAGGGCCUGGAGGAGCCUGGCUUGUGUGGAGUCAAGGGCAGACUUGAUGUUCUAACCCCUGGCUCCUCAGAGUGUGACUAUAUUUGGAAAUAGGGCUCCCUGUCCCCAGGAAGGCCAAGUCCUUGCCGCCAUUGUGAUUUCUUACAGUCCUGGAACAUCUGGCUGUCCUCACCCUCUGCUGGAAUCUGUAAAUUAUUGGUCCACCUUAUCUGUCCAUCUUACAAUAAAUGACAUCUCCAUA
Non-coding RNA from Macaca mulatta (Rhesus monkey), 3169 nucleotides. NCBI's taxonomy places the organism in Eukaryota, Metazoa, Chordata, Mammalia, Primates, Cercopithecidae. The record is from RefSeq and is a predicted model, not a curated record.